GUCAGCCAGACGUCUGGACUGAGUGUCCACUAUCACCUAAAGCACACACGUAUUGAUAGACAGAUGUAAGUUCGGACCAAAUACAGAACAGCGGAAAUACAGGCAUGAAACACCUGGAGAACUGGCUUGGUUAUGCUCUGCACCCUCUCCAGGACACGGCACAUCCUGAGCUCCAAGGCACCUUGCUCGGCCAAUAAAGUCUCCAGUCCCAGCUGCACAUCCUGGGCUGCAUUCUCCAGCCUGUCGCUCUGUGCGGUCAUCAUCUGGAGGUUCUUCGUCACCUGCCUUUGGGUCCUUCCUACCUGCACACCUUGCUCUCGUAACCUCUCCACAGCCUGGGUGUCUCCCACCAGCUCCUCUGACACUUGGUCACCCUGCCUCUCCAUCCUCCAGGCACUCUCCUGCACCCCCUGGAGCAUUUGGAGCAGCCCCACAGAAAGCACCUGUAUCUGGGCCACAGGAACCUGGCCUCUAUGGAGGGUUUACCUGGUGAUGGGGAGUGCCAUGCCAGGCUGAGGCCCACCAGGCAGACGGACAGCUGUAACACCCGGCUCACCCGCAUGGCCUGGUAUGGAGAGAUCCCCUUCAACUCAGUUUAGAAUGAGAAAGUAUCAAAUUGUAGGUAGAUGUGCUUGUGGAUCCAGUAAACUGAUGUGAUGAGCCUUUAUACCCAGAACCUGUUGGAUCUUGAUCAGAUGGCAAUGAGGAAAAUCCAGAUCUGAUGAGACCUCACAGAAUUCUGGGUGUACUGCAGGUCUGUCCUGAGGAGGUGUGGAGCUCAGACUGAUGUUGGAUAGAGAGAUGAGGAGAGGGAGGGGAGCUGGAAAGAGACAGUGGGUGUUCCCAGACUGACACCAGCCUUGCAGCCAAACAGACCCAUUGACUCAAAUUGUUUAGAAUUCACUGGAAUAAUCAGUUCCAUUAAUAACCAUUGCCACUACUAAAGAUCAGUCAUACAGUCCCUCCCUUCAGAGGAGUGACAAACUGUUAAAUACAUCUGCUUUGAAUUUACAUUUAAAAAAUGUGGCUACUUAUUAAAUUUGAAUCUGACAUUUACAGACUCUAAUAAUCAAAACCUUAGGUGCAAUUUGGGAAACAUUUGAGAAAUUACAAAUUCUUUCUUGGCCUUAGUUUUAUUGAUGGAAGUCAAGCAAGGGUUAUAUCUGCUGGCCGUCUGUGGUGUUGCAGGCACAUGCAGAAUGCUGAAGGUGUUACCAUUAUUCGUGUGUGUGGUGUGGACUCCUGGCAAAGCCUGUGUAAUCUAACAAGUAUGUCAAUGGCUUGGUUUCCAUCCAAAUCUGCAUACAAACAAUAUGCUCCAUUUUCCCACCAGAGUUGUUUGCAUUACAUUUACUUUUUGCGGAUUAAAAUAAAUGUCCGUGAUGACGUAAUGCACAGAAAAAAUAAUUUUGCGGUUAAAUUACCAUGUACCGAAUAAAAAAUACAAUGAAAUUGGUUUCCAUCGCAUUUUCAAAUCUACUGAUCGUUUUGUGACAAAACAUGUUGGGUUAUAGCGAAUGUCCCCACUUGCGUCUUUGCACGUGCGCUCUCGCCGACAGCUCGCCGAUACAGUAGAUGCAGGUAGGCUGCAUACACAAUGAUAUUCCUAUUAUGGACAAGAGAGCGAAAGCAUUACAUUUAUUAGGCUACAGAUUAAAUAAAUAAAUAAACUUCACAGGGUGUUGAAAGUGCACGUGAUCUUGAUGCUGCUUUCCAGUAAAUAUCGAAGGUCUGAUUCUAGUGAUAUGAUGAUCGAUGCUUGACUGCCGUUUGACAAACACAAAUAUUCACAAUAAUCGCAUCAUGUGGGUCUACCCUCAUAGCCUAGUUUCUGCGAGCUGUUGGCUAGAACGCACGUUCAAAAACCUGAGUAGGCACAUUCACUAUUUAAUAACGCCAAAGAAUGUUUGUGAUAUAACUAUAGAAACACAUUGAAAAAUAAAUGUUGUGUGCACUACGUCUCUACACACAGAUUUUUAUCCACAACAAGUCCGUUUGGUGAAAAUAUUCAUAUUUACUUUAUGCGGAAUUUUUCAUAUCCUAGCUACUAACACACAAAUAUCCCACCUUGUCUAGCGUAUUUGGUUUGGAAAGUUUACCGACAAAUUAGCUGUUUCCAUCAGGCCUGUAGUAAAAAUGUUUAUCCAACAUACUUUACUUGCAUAUAAAGAUUGGAUGGAACCUGGUUAAUGAGAACUCAUCAUUUCUUCCCGAGACCGAUGUAGUAAAAAAACCUCAGAAUAUCAGCACCCAUUCAGUCAGCGGAUAAAAACGCUUUGCCAGGCCACACUCCUUUUAUGACACAUUAAUAUAUUUCCGCCUAUUGAGACCUGCGCUUCCUACUUUACUCCUAACAUUACUG
This 2362-nucleotide long non-coding RNA is filed under the name Salmo salar (Atlantic salmon). Its description in RNAcentral is "lncRNA (ENSSSAG00000101339.1, ENSSSAG00000115737.1)". The record is from RNAcentral. Lineage: Eukaryota; Metazoa; Chordata; Actinopteri; Salmoniformes; Salmonidae.